AGAGUUUGAUCAUGGCUCAGAACGAACGCUGGCGGCGUGCCUAACACAUGCAAGUCGAGCGAGAAAGGGGCUUCGGCCCCGAGUACAGCGGCGAACGGGUGCGUAACACGUGGAUAAUCUGCCUUCGGGCCCGGAAUAACCUUCCGAAAGGAGGGCUAAUGCCGGAUGAGCUCACGGGUCCUCCGGGACCUGCGGGAAAAGGUGGCCUCUGCUUGCAAGCUACCACCCGGAGAUGAGUCCGCGGCCCAUCAGCUAGUUGGCGGGGUAAUGGCCCACCAAGGCGACGACGGGUAGCUGGUCUGAGAGGACGAUCAGCCACACUGGGACUGAGACACGGCCCAGACUCCUACGGGAGGCAGCAGUGGGGAAUCUUGCGCAAUGGGCGAAAGCCUGACGCAGCAACGCCGCGUGAGCGAUGAAGGUCCUUGGAUCGUAAAGCUCUUUCGGCUGGGAAGAAACGCCCGGUGGCGAAUACCCAUCGGGUUUGACGGUACCAGCAGAAGAAGCACCGGCUAACUCUGUGCCAGCAGCCGCGGUAAUACAGAGGGUGCAAGCGUUGUUCGGAAUUAUUGGGCGUAAAGCGAGUGUAGGCGGGAUGGCAAGUCGGAUGUGAAAGCCCACGGCUCAACCGUGGAAGUGCGUUCGAAACUGCCGUUCUUGAGUGUCGGAGAGGGUGGCGGAAUUCCCGGUGUAGAGGUGAAAUUCGUAGAUAUCGGGAGGAACACCAGUGGCGAAGGCGGCCACCUGGACGAACACUGACGCUGAGACUCGAAAGCGUGGGGGAGCAAACAGGAUUAGAUACCCUGGUAGUCCACGCCGUAAACGAUGAAUGCUAGCUGUUGCGGGUAUUGACCCCUGCAGUGGCGAAGCCAACGCAUUAAGCAUUCCGCCUGGGAAGUACGGCCGCAAGGCUAAAACUCAAAUGAAUUGACGG
RNAcentral lists this ribosomal RNA (934 nucleotides) under uncultured bacterium. RNAcentral's name for it is "bacterial SSU rRNA". It matches the Rfam family "Bacterial small subunit ribosomal RNA", at positions 8 to 916 of the family's 1533-position model. The record is from RNAcentral.